Molecule: ribosomal RNA, 498 nt
Filed under: uncultured bacterium
Lineage: Bacteria
Description: partial 16S ribosomal RNA
Rfam family: Bacterial small subunit ribosomal RNA
Source: RNAcentral
AUUGAACGCUGGCGGAAUGCUUUACACAUGCAAGUCGAGCGGCAGCGCAGGGCAACCUGGCGGCGAGCGGCGAACGGGUGAGUAAUACAUCGGAACGUACCCUGUCGUGGGGGAUAACGAGUCGAAAGAUUCGCUAAUACCGCAUACGACCUGAGGGUGAAAGCGGGGGAUCGCAAGACCUCGCGCGACAGGAGUGGCCAAUGGCGGAUUAGCUAGUUGGUGAGGUAAAGGCUCACCAAGGCCACGAUCCGUAGCGGGUCUGAGAGGACGACCCGCCAAACUGGAACAGAGACACGGUCCAGACUCCUACGGGAGGCAGCAGUGGGGAAUUUUGGACAAUGGGGGCAACCCUGAUCCAGCCAUUCCGCGUGGGUGAAGAAGGCCUUCGGGUUGUAAAGCUCUUUCGGCAGGAACGAAACGGUGGUCCCUAAUAUGGACUGCUGAUGACGGUACCUGAAGAAGAAGCACCGGCUAACUACGUGCCAGCCGCCGCCGUAA